UUGGCCAAAAAGUUCAUUUGGGUUUUUCUAUAAGGUGUUAAGGAAAAACCCUGAACGGAAUUUUUGGCCA
RNAcentral lists this microRNA precursor (70 nucleotides) under Tursiops truncatus (common bottlenose dolphin). RNAcentral describes it as "miRNA (ENSTTRG00000024485.1)". Lineage: Eukaryota; Metazoa; Chordata; Mammalia; Artiodactyla; Delphinidae. The record is from RNAcentral.